Varroa destructor (honeybee mite) is the source of this 3366-nucleotide long non-coding RNA. The record is from RefSeq and is a predicted model, not a curated record. NCBI's taxonomy places the organism in Eukaryota, Metazoa, Arthropoda, Arachnida, Mesostigmata, Varroidae.
CUGGGGGUUCGGAUGACGUUUUCACCAUCUUCACGGAGUAUCUGAUGCGAACGUUAGCUUACCGCGGAGGAAUGAAAAUGCUUCGGUGGCAGUAUAUACGAAAGGGACUGUGGAUAGAACGUCUUGCAUCACAUAGGGUCCUGCCAAAGUAGACGCUAUUUUUUUUUUUUUUUAACUCCGUCGGCAUCAAAAAGGUAGACCAAUGAAAUAUGAAAUCCACAGAAGAUUGCUAUUAAACUACAGGGAAGUAUUAUCUCGUUCCUAGCGUACAUCGCUUCAAACACGAAAUCUAUAAUAUAUUCUAGCCACUUUGCUCAUUCUCACUACAAGAGUACGUUAGGUCACUUUAGAAACUUUAGAUCUCACAUCUCAAUAUAUUUAACAGUUACUCAUGCUUAAUAUGGAAACAUUACUCUUCUAUUGUUUCUUUAUUUAGUCACAUUAGAAGACAAAAAUAGAUUAGCCGGUUGUUAUUAAUCCGAGGAAAGCUAUCUUCUAAACCUCCAUAUGGAAUAGUGACAAGUAAAUAAUUGCUAACUUUGUUUGUUUAGUAAAAGCCGAAACUUAAAAUAACUAAAUAGCAUUAUUCUAUACGCAUACACAAAAACUUCAGCACGAUUCCUUCGGGUAUUGUUACUGAUAGUAAUGUUUUAAAAGACAACUUACAAAUGAUAGGUCAAAAGCCGUUUGAAUAUUUCCUCAACAAAAUUCCCUGUUUUAAGGGUUUGUAUUGGUCAAGACGUUCAUGGCUGUCCAUAACAUUUAAAUGAACGACUCUCGAGUUGAUUACUAAAUUUUGGCCACGAUGCCUAAUGUCAGGACCAGACGUAAAGCUCGAACAUUUAGUUGUUAAGCGUCUAUAUAUAUAUAUAUUGGUAACGUAUUGGUUAAAUGCUGCUAUGCAGGAACCUAUACGUACAUAUAACUCGUGCUUAAUUUAAAUUGACAACAAAUAAAGUGAACGUAUCGAGUCUGUCUUCUUUGGCGGAAAAUAGUCGUCUGAUUUUAUCCAGAAGAUCUAUAUGAAUACUAAACUUACAUCAAAGCUAUACCGUUAUUAUAUAAAAUUAUGCAAAUUAUACCAGGCGCGCUUCGCAUGCUAUGUUUCCGAUGGGCCAUUGCGUAGCUAGUUUCUCUCGAGGAGGCUAGCUCGGAGAAUCUAUUUGACCUAUAAAAGCUGUUCACAGCGACCGGUGUAAGUCAGACACUUCGGCCUUCCAGUACUCAAAAGUGACAGCGUCUGGGUGGCGUAUAAUUAUCUUGGUCGACUCAUCCUUUCUUUCGUUAUUCUCAUGAAAUCAGCAAGGAUUCACAAUUGAUUUCAGAAAGCCGUAAAUGUAGAUCUUAAUGACGUGGUGGUCGAUAACAUGCCCGUCUUCGGUACGUAGUAUUACUUCGCAAAAAAAAAACUCGACAAGCUCUUUGUAGCGGGAUAUACAAUAUCUUUUUCUUCCCUUUUUAAGAACUAAUCACAAAAACAUCGGGUCGACCGGCUUUUUCAGUUAAUUAAAGUUUCCAAAUUCGUCAUAAUUUACCGAGCAUAACUCGAAACGGCGUCGCAGUUCAUGUAGCUUGAUGCCUCCUUUGAAGAAGCCCCGCUUAUGCACUUACUGCUCGGCUCGAAAACUAUCAGUUCUGAACUUCUUGAAAUAAAUACAACGUAAACCAGGUUGUCUCGAUUGAACGGAGUAUGGCAAAAAGUGCAUCGGUGUACACGCCUUUAUCUUCGAAAUUUCGUUUCAUAACGACCAGUAUAAUAAGGAUAAGUUCCGCUGAACUAAUCUCGUCAAGCUUUGAAACUGUGUUAAUAAUAGUAUCCCCAAGCAUUACCAGAUGGCUGACAAUACGCUAUUUAGUCAUGAUCGUCUUUCGAGAUGGAGAGACUAGUGCCCAGGCUUACUUUCCUUCUGAACUCGUUUGUCAGAGAUACAGCCCACACCGAAGAUCUCGUCGAGUGACUGCUAUUCAUCCUCUUCAGGGCUCGGUUGCUUCGACAGGAUAAUCCCAGUUAUAGGUUUAUCGCCAGUGAAGCCUGCCACUCCGCAUUCAUAAAUACUGCCGAAGUCACUAGUUAAACUAAGUUUACACAAACCCCUCAUCGGUUCCAGAGAACCACAACCGAGAGCAUAUCCGCGCGAAUGUGGAUAAAAGUUAAGCCUUUCCUGUACUGAUGCUUAGAACAGAGAGAAUUUAUUUUGUUGGCGUUUCCUCUUAACGCUGCGAACCCCGUUCAUACCUAUCACGUUGAACACUACGCACAGCCUUCCAAAGCUUAACUGAUGGAGCUCAUUUGCUGUCACUAAUAGCUCAAAUUGUAUGCUAAAUAGAUCGUACGAAAUAAUUUUUCGAGUUAUAACGAAGCGCGCUACCUUUGACGACAUCACUCUGAUCCAGUUGGGUCGAAAGCCUGUGUUCCAGUGAUACAGAGCCUGAACGGUUUCUAAGGAUGAAGACGACAAGAGGCGUCGUAGCGUUUUUGGCACAUUUUUGUGCCCCUAAUUGUCGUCAUGAAUCCUCGUCACUUAUUUCGGCUAUAUCAACAUCAAGUUUCCUAGGACCGUCGUAUUUGACCAAUGGCACGUCAGCGAAUCCCUCUUCUAGUAUGGGGUCCACACAUUGAUAGAUCCUUGACGAUGACAUCGCGGGUACUCUCGUAUCAGUCUCGAUCAACUUCCGCAGAAAUUUCAUCAACUCCUUCCACUUCUUACCACUAUGAAGAGGAAGCUUUACAUCGAGAUUUCCAGAAUCAUUUAUCUCGCGUCUCGACCAUGAACAGCUCCUUCUUUUUCUAGAGGCCUGGGCAGCCUUUCUCUUAACACUAUAAUUGAAACUUUUAUCGAAUUUUUACUUAAACAAUUUCAAUAUAUCGGCUAUUCCCGCUAUUUCAACUUUCAAUCGAUACCAACGCCCUCUCGACGCAAUUCAUAUUACCUAAAAUGUGUCACUUUUUAAACAGUUCAGUGCCUCUUAGACACCCCAUUUCAAGUUAUGCAUUUGUGCUGGACUACAUCAUCUACAUCAGCCAUACUCGUAUAACAUACAAAAAUACUUCCCUUAUUAAAUUUACGAAUCCAAGUGCCCGCAGUGUUUUCUUUUUGCCGCUGUUAUCUAAAUCAAAGUUGAUUUGUCGUCAAUAGCACGAGAGCUACAGAGAGAAACAGUGAAUCAUAUAGAUUCGUCUUUAAGUGUUAGCAGCAAGCAUCAUCGAAGGCAAUCCUAAUCUUAGGACUGAUGAGAUCAUGUAGUUGUCUGUCUGCCUUGCGAUAAUAAUAGUUUAUUCGUGCAAAAUAUCCCGUUAUCAUAAGGUUACAGGAGCGUUUUUAAUUACACAUGUAUGUUCAAAAAUAACGGAAAUUUUCUGUUUCA